CAGAGUUGCAAGACUCCCUAAAACCAUUGUGAACCUACCUUCUACCGUUGCUUCGGCGGGCGGGCCCAGCGCCCCCCCGGCCCCCCCGCGGGCGCCCGCCGGAGGAUACCCAAACUCUUGACAUUAGUGGCCUCUCUGAGUAUUCUUUACUGAAUAAGUCA
RNAcentral lists this unclassified non-coding RNA (161 nucleotides) under soil metagenome. RNAcentral's name for it is "partial internal transcribed spacer 1". The record is from RNAcentral.